Molecule: long non-coding RNA, 703 nt
Filed under: Anas zonorhyncha (Eastern spot-billed duck)
Lineage: Eukaryota; Metazoa; Chordata; Aves; Anseriformes; Anatidae
Description: lncRNA (ENSAZOG00000015318.1)
Source: RNAcentral
GAUGGCCUACAAGGAGAAUGUGAACCCCGGCUUGUACGGCCUGCUUAAGAAUGGGGCCCCCGCCCCCCCCGCAGCCCAGCGGGUGCCCCUCAAGGACCCCGCCACCACGGGGACCCCCUCCGAUGCCCUCCUGCUGCAGAGAGCCACCGGCCGGCCUCCCCCCGUGCCAGCAGCAGGACGCGUCCCUGUGGAGCCCAACACCUUGGUGGCCCCCCAGUACCUGCUGCAACCCACAGCAGUGAUGAACGCUGUCCUCCUCCUCCUCCUCUCCAGAAGAUGCUCCGCGUGCAGCCCCAGAGACCACGCUCCCAGGGCCGUGUUUGCCUCCAUCUCUGGAGGGAGCAUCCAAGAUUAAGACUGCACACACCUCCAAAAAGAGUGCUGAAGUAUGACACCCCAUUGCGACUACUGGUUCUCCAGCUGAUUUAGCAGAAGAAUGUCCCUUUACAAACCUUCAGCACUUUUACAUGUCUUUAUUGAAGUCCACAAAGAUGUAACUGUGAUUUGGAUGACUUACACCAAUUCCUUUUUUUGCAACAUAGCUAGCAUGGUAAUCAGACGAAAAACAGAUACUAAUAUUUUGCUGCAGAACUACAAACAACUCUUUAAAUGGAGAAAACCUUAAGAGAGAAUCACUCACCACAAAGCUGCUGUAGUGAAAGCUCAUCAGAUCAAGAAGAAACAUGCUGAUACUCCUUCUAAG